AUACGUAGGGAGCGAGCGUUGUCCGGAAUUACUGGGCGUAAAGGGCGCGUAGGCGGCGCUUCAAGUCGUCUGUCAAAUGGGAGGGCUUAACCCUUUUUCGCAGACGAAACUGGGGAGCUUGAGAAGCAGAGAGGCAAACAGAAUUCCUGGUGUAGCGGUGAAAUGCGUUGAUAUCAGGAAGAAUACCAGUGGCGAAGGCGGUUUACUGGCUGAAUACUGACGCUGAAGCGCGAAAGCCAGGGGAGCAAACGGGAUUAGAUACCCCGGUAGUCCUGGCAGUAAACGAUUUAUGCUGGGUGUGAGACUAGCGAUAUUUUCGUGCCGAAGUUAACGCGAUAAGCAUACCGCCUGGGGAGUACGGUCGCAAGAUUGAAACUCAAAGGAAUUGACGGGG
This 394-nucleotide ribosomal RNA is filed under the name uncultured bacterium. RNAcentral's name for it is "partial 16S ribosomal RNA". It matches the Rfam family "Bacterial small subunit ribosomal RNA", at positions 523 to 918 of the family's 1533-position model. The record is from RNAcentral.